Molecule: ribosomal RNA, 480 nt
Filed under: uncultured Bacteroidota bacterium
Lineage: Bacteria; Pseudomonadati; Bacteroidota
Description: bacterial SSU rRNA
Rfam family: Bacterial small subunit ribosomal RNA
Source: RNAcentral
GAUGAACGCUAGCGGCGGGCUUAAUACAUGCAAGUCGAACGGUAACAGUUCCUUCGGGAAGCUGACGAGUGGCGCACGGGUGCGUAACGCGUACACGACCUACCUCUAAGAGGGGGAUAGCCUUUGGAAACGAAGAUUAAUACCCCAUGUGGUUUAUGAGCUUCAUGGCUUAUAAAUUAAAGAGUUAUCGCUUAGAGAUGGGUGUGCGUCCCAUUAGCUAGUUGGUGAGGUAACGGCUCACCAAGGCUACGAUGGGUAGCUGUUCUGAGAGGAAGAUCAGCCACACGGGCACUGAGACACGGGCCCGACUCCUACGGGAGGCAGCAGUAAGGAAUAUUGGUCAAUGGGGGCAACCCUGAACCAGCCACGCCGCGUGCAGGAUGACUGCCCUAUGGGUUGUAAACUGCUUUUAUGUAAGAAGAACGGGUGUCAUUAAUGAUGCUAUGACGGUAUUACAUGAAUAAGCACCGGCUAACUCCG